CCGAAAGUAGAUGCACUAUCUGAUCAUUCAUUAUCUCGGUAAAAGGCGAUGAUCACAUGCUUCCAUUGGCCAGCAAUUAGUACACUGCUAAGCUGUCAUCAAAAUAGGUUUGCGUCUCCAUAAUUUUAUCCUUUUGUUUGUUGAUGCGAUAGCUAAGAAAAAUCGUCUGUACAUGUUGUUUCUUUUGGCUUUACAUAAUCUCCUCCAUUCAAAAGGUGCACUAGUGGAGGUACC
Molecule: long non-coding RNA, 234 nt
Filed under: Eucalyptus grandis
Lineage: Eukaryota; Viridiplantae; Streptophyta; Magnoliopsida; Myrtales; Myrtaceae
Description: long non-coding RNA (EGRA_LNC006999)
Source: RNAcentral